RNAcentral lists this unclassified non-coding RNA (299 nucleotides) under plant metagenome. RNAcentral describes it as "partial contains 5.8S ribosomal RNA, internal transcribed spacer 2, and large subunit ribosomal RNA". The stretch from base 1 to 105 matches the Rfam family "5.8S ribosomal RNA", at positions 50 to 154 of the family's 154-position model. The record is from RNAcentral.
GAAAUGCGAUAAGUAAUGUGAAUUGCAGAAUUCAGUGAAUCAUCGAAUCUUUGAACGCACAUUGCGCCCCCUGGUAUUCCGGGGGGCAUGCCUGUUCGAGCGUCAUUUCACCACUCAAGCCUCGCUUGGUAGUGGGCGACGCGGUCCGCCGCGCGCCUCAAAUCGACCGGCUGGGUCUUCCGUCCCCUCAGCGUUGUGGAAACUAUUCGCUAAAGGGUGCCGCGGGAGGUCACGCCGCAAAACAACCCCAUUUCUAAGGUUGACCUCGGAUCAGGUAGGGAUACCCGCUGAACUUAAGC